CGUGUGAGGUUAGACUCACAGAUGGGAGGGCUAAAAAUGAUAACAGGGUCAUUAAAAGAUAAAUAUCCUCCACAAGGGAAGACAGUCGUCACAGACAGCCUCUCUGCAGCAGCAAAAAGCAGAAAAUAAAACAACUCUGGAAAAAUGCUCAGAAAUUUUCUUGUAGCGUCUCUUUGCCUCCUCGCCACAGUAAAUCUGUGUGGGACAACGGAGACACCUACUACACCAGAACCACCAACAACACCAAUACCAAAAAGCACCACAGACAUUAGUACUGAAACUUCAGCUAGUCCACCAACUUCACCAACCUCAACCCCAACUGGUUCACCAGCCACAGUCGACCAAACUGGUGAAACUGGUUCACCAGCCACAGUCGACCAAACUGGUGAAACUGGUUCACCAGCCACAGCCAGCCUAAACUCAACCACAAUCCUCCCCUCGUCGGGACCGGCCUCGCCAGGGCUGUCCGGAGGGGCGAUAGCCGGCAUCACCAUCGGUACCAUCGCCGGGGCGGGCUUACUGGGCGGCGGCGUCUACGGUCUGCUGAAAUACACUAAAAAAAUCUGAGAACAAUUCCCCCCCCAUCAAAGACUUAAAUGUUGAAACAUCGCACGCUGCAACGUUUCCUAUGAUCCGAUCCGGUUAGCGGGACGGGGAGGAGGCGGGCUUUUCUCAAAGGAUCUGAAUAAAACCGUCAGUGAAAGCUUCAUGGCCCACCAGGAGUAAAUCCAUUAUAGUUUCUUGACUGCAUUUCUUUAAGUCAGACGGUAAUUUUGAUGAUGAUUUUAACGUAACAGCAAAUUCUCUGCAUAUUUAUCGGUUUCUGUCUGCAGUGAACGGCAUAAAUGUGUCGACCAGAAAGUUUUGUUGUCAUUUAUGAAAAUAUGUGAAAAACUGUAAUUAAGAUUAUGAAUAAUUUAUAACAUUUAGUGUGAUGAAUAGCCAUCUUGGUGGAUUUACAUCCUCAUUAGAGACUUGCUCUCUUUCACUCCUUCAGCUUUAAUAAAAAACGGUUUUAGUUUCUUUUGUCAUCUGGAAAUAAAAAUGUUACAAACCUUUACAACCAUCCAGACAGGGCUUCACUGCUGAGGCUUUAUAUAUAUUUCAGAACAUAAAGUUGGUUUAUUUUCAUAUAAUAAAUAAAGAAAAUCA
This is an RNA transcript of Xiphophorus maculatus (southern platyfish), 1152 nucleotides long. It is a transcript of the gene named threonine-rich protein-like, with no coding region annotated. The record is from RefSeq and is a predicted model, not a curated record. Lineage: Eukaryota; Metazoa; Chordata; Actinopteri; Cyprinodontiformes; Poeciliidae. The transcript has 4 exons.